Molecule: ribosomal RNA, 1511 nt
Filed under: uncultured bacterium
Lineage: Bacteria
Description: bacterial SSU rRNA
Rfam family: Bacterial small subunit ribosomal RNA
Source: RNAcentral
GAGAGUUUGAUCCUGGCUCAGGACGAACGCUGGCGGCGUGCCUAAUACAUGCAAGUAGAACGCUGAAGAGAGGAGCUUGCUCUUCUUGGAUGAGUUGCGAACGGGUGAGUAACGCGUAGGUAACCUGCCUUGUAGCGGGGGAUAACUAUUGGAAACGAUAGCUAAUACCGCAUAACAAUGGAUGACACAUGUCAUUUAUUUGAAAGGGGCAAUUGCUCCACUACAAGAUGGACCUGCGUUGUAUUAGCUAGUAGGUGAGGUAACGGCUCACCUAGGCGACGAUACAUAGCCGACCUGAGAGGGUGAUCGGCCACACUGGGACUGAGACACGGCCCAGACUCCUACGGGAGGCAGCAGUAGGGAAUCUUCGGCAAUGGGGGCAACCCUGACCGAGCAACGCCGCGUGAGUGAAGAAGGUUUUCGGAUCGUAAAGCUCUGUUGUAAGUCAAGAACGAGUGUGAGAGUGGAAAGUUCACACUGUGACGGUAGCUUACCAGAAAGGGACGGCUAACUACGUGCCAGCAGCCGCGGUAAUACGUAGGUCCCGAGCGUUGUCCGGAUUUAUUGGGCGUAAAGCGAGCGCAGGCGGUUUGAUAAGUCUGAAGUUAAAGGCUGUGGCUCAACCAUAGUUCGCUUUGGAAACUGUCAAACUUGAGUGCAGAAGGGGAGAGUGGAAUUCCAUGUGUAGCGGUGAAAUGCGUAGAUAUAUGGAGGAACACCGGUGGCGAAAGCGGCUCUCUGGUCUGUAACUGACGCUGAGGCUCGAAAGCGUGGGGAGCGAACAGGAUUAGAUACCCUGGUAGUCCACGCCGUAAACGAUGAGUGCUAGGUGUUGGAUCCUUUCCGGGAUUCAGUGCCGCAGCUAACGCAUUAAGCACUCCGCCUGGGGAGUACGACCGCAAGGUUGAAACUCAAAGGAAUUGACGGGGGCCCGCACAAGCGGUGGAGCAUGUGGUUUAAUUCGAAGCAACGCGAAGAACCUUACCAGGUCUUGACAUCCCGAUGCUAUUUCUAGAGAUAGAAAGUUACUUCGGUACAUCGGUGACAGGUGGUGCAUGGUUGUCGUCAGCUCGUGUCGUGAGAUGUUGGGUUAAGUCCCGCAACGAGCGCAACCCCUAUUGUUAGUUGCCAUCAUUCAGUUGGGCACUCUAGCGAGACUGCCGGUAAUAAACCGGAGGAAGGUGGGGAUGACGUCAAAUCAUCAUGCCCCUUAUGACCUGGGCUACACACGUGCUACAAUGGUUGGUACAACGAGUUGCGAGUCGGUGACGGCAAGCUAAUCUCUUAAAGCCAAUCUCAGUUCGGAUUGUAGGCUGCAACUCGCCUACAUGAAGUCGGAAUCGCUAGUAAUCGCGGAUCAGCACGCCGCGGUGAAUACGUUCCCGGGCCUUGUACACACCGCCCGUCACACCACGAGAGUUUGUAACACCCGAAGUCGGUGAGGUAACCUUUUGGAGCCAGCCGCCUAAGGUGGGAUAGAUGAUUGGGGUGAAGUCGUAACAAGGUAGCCG